UAGCAACCCCCACCCCUCCUUUGAACGUCAGAGCCAGGAGCUGGAGGAUGAAGCCGCAUGCAGCUUCUGUCUCUUGUGCCUCUCAGAGAGCACCUGUGAUUUUUGUUAUCUCAGAUGCAACAGCCAGCAGGAGCAGGAGCAGCGCUGCACUGCAUCUGGAAAUAAUCUAAUGAGUGAUUUGACUCGUGCCCGCUGUAUAUCGCACACCAUCAAACGCCACAUCUAGAAAAAAGCACUGAUCCAGCAGCGUCUACAGCAUGUCUUGGCUGUUCUUGGACUGGUUCGUCCCCCUCUAUCUGCUGGUGUCGGUUUUGGUGCUGGCAGGGUUCGGAGCCUGCCUUUACUUCCUUGAGCCCGGGCUGCAGGACGCCCACAAGUGGAGCAACAAAACAGUCCGGCAUCACCCGCUGGUGGCCAGUGUGAACUGCAGAGAUGACGAUAGUAAUGCCCUGAUAUGACCAGGAGAGUGACCAGGAGUGGACGACAGGCCAUCUGGACGGGGUGCGGCCAGGACACGAGUGGGAUGGGAGCCAGCACCUAAAGAGGGAGAGAGAAAAUGCAAGAGAAAGGCCGUAUUUUGAUUAUCUAAUAAUGCAAGCUCUGUCCUACCAUUCCAACUUUUCUUUGACCUCUUGCAAACACAUUUGCAGCAGAGAUCAGGGAAAAGUGACUAGAGCUGUUUAAAAGAAUCUAAUGAAGCCAAAGGCAAGAGGGAGACAGGACUAUGUCGAAGUGGAUAUGUGAGGUGCAUGGAGGACAUGUUGCCCUUUAGAAAAUGUCUCAUGCCAGUUUGACAGAUCAACAAAAACGUGCUUACACUUGAUGUAAAUUUCAUUCCAUCUUAUACUUGUGCCAACUUUUACAUAAGUUUUGUAACUUGACAAUCACUUUGCAUAUAUCAUAAAGUUUACUUAUGUAGUGAUUUUAAUGAGUGAAGUGAAUGACGUAAGUGCAAUGAAUUAGUUGUCAAGGGAGGGAAACCUCAGCCUGGCAAUGACAGCAUGGCAGCUGCUAUCAAGCAUGUGGAUUGUUAGUGCCACUGUGCCAAAAUGGUGUAGGUGUUAGAAGUAGGGACUUUGUUAAAAUAAUAUGUGCUGAAAUAAAUGCAAUGAAAUUAUUCAAGGUGCCAAGUUUAUCCUAGAUGGACCAAGAUAAGGACCAAGAACAGAGUAUUUGGUAAUGCUCAAAGUGUAUAUUUGUUUGUCAUUGUUUCUACUGGACAGCACGGUGAGGAAAUUGUGGGUGUGCACACCCCUAUUUUAAUGACCAAAUGCGUCCUGUAUUCAUAUAAAAAUAAAACUCUUUUAUCUCUAACUGUU
Long non-coding RNA from Myripristis murdjan (pinecone soldierfish), 1319 nucleotides. RefSeq lists it as uncharacterized. The transcript has 2 exons. The record is from RefSeq and is a predicted model, not a curated record. Lineage: Eukaryota; Metazoa; Chordata; Actinopteri; Holocentriformes; Holocentridae.